GCCGGGAUGGCGGAACUGGCAGACGCAGGGGACUUAAAAUCCCCCGGCCGAAAGGCCGUCCGGGUUCGAAUCCCGGUCUCGGCACCA
RNAcentral lists this transfer RNA (87 nucleotides) under candidate division BRC1 bacterium ADurb.BinA292. RNAcentral's name for it is "tRNA-Leu". It matches the Rfam family "tRNA". Rfam says of the family: Transfer RNA (tRNA) molecules are approximately 80 nucleotides in length. Their secondary structure includes four short double-helical elements and three loops (D, anti-codon, and T loops). The record is from RNAcentral. Lineage: Bacteria; Candidatus Sumerlaeota. RNAcentral also lists the same sequence under 1 other name.